GAAAUGCGAUAAGUAAUGUGAAUUGCAGAAUUCAGUGAAUCAUCGAAUCUUUGAACGCACAUUGCGCCCCUUGGUAUUCCGAGGGGCAUGCCUGUUCGAGCGUCAUUACACCACUCAAGCUAUGCUUGGUAUUGGGUGCCGUCCUUAGUUGGGCGCGCCUUAAAGACCUCGGCGAGGCCUCACCGGCUUUAGGCGUAGUAGAAUUUAUUCGAACGUCUGUCAAAGGAGAGGACUUCUGCCGACUGAAACCUUUUAUUUUUCUAGGUUGACCUCGGAUCAGGUAGAGAUACCCGCUGAACUUAAGC
This 305-nucleotide unclassified non-coding RNA is filed under the name plant metagenome. RNAcentral's name for it is "partial contains 5.8S ribosomal RNA, internal transcribed spacer 2, and large subunit ribosomal RNA". The stretch from base 1 to 105 matches the Rfam family "5.8S ribosomal RNA", at positions 50 to 154 of the family's 154-position model. The record is from RNAcentral.